AGAACGAACGCUGGCGGCAUGCCUAAUACAUGCAAGUCGAACGAACUCUUCGGAGUUAGUGGCGCACGGGUGCGUAACGCGUGGGAAUCUGCCCCUUGGUUCGGAAUAACAGUUGGAAACGACUGCUAAUACCGGAUGAUGACGAAAGUCCAAAGAUUUAUCGCCAAGGGAUGAGCCCGCGUAGGAUUAGCUAGUUGGUGAGGUAAAGGCUCACCAAGGCAACGAUCCUUAGCUGGUCUGAGAGGAUGAUCAGCCACACUGGGACUGAGACACGGCCCAGACUCCUACGGGAGGCAGCAGUAGGGAAUAUUGGACAAUGGGCGAAAGCCUGAUCCAGCAAUGCGCGUGAGUGAUGAAGCCUUAGGUUGUAAAGCUCUUUUACCGAGAUGAUAAUGAACAGUAUCGGAGAAGUAACGCCCCGGACUAACCGUCCGUCGCCAAGCAACGCCCGAC
RNAcentral lists this ribosomal RNA (453 nucleotides) under uncultured soil bacterium. RNAcentral describes it as "bacterial SSU rRNA". It matches the Rfam family "Bacterial small subunit ribosomal RNA", at positions 26 to 528 of the family's 1533-position model. The record is from RNAcentral.